This 473-nucleotide ribosomal RNA is filed under the name uncultured bacterium. RNAcentral describes it as "bacterial SSU rRNA". It matches the Rfam family "Bacterial small subunit ribosomal RNA", at positions 29 to 506 of the family's 1533-position model. The record is from RNAcentral.
AUGAACGCUGGCGGCGUGCCUUAGACAUGCAAGUCGAACGAAGCACCCACAACUGAUCGCUUCGGUGUGAGGAAAUGGGUGACUUAGUGGCGAACGGGUGAGUAACACGUGAGUGACCUGCCCCGAAGUGCGGCAUAACAGGGGGAAACCCUUGCUAAUUCCGCAUGUGCUCCCACCUCUUGUGGUGUGAGUAAAGAUUUAUCGCUUCGGGAUGGGCUCGCGGUCCAUCAGCUAGUUGGUAGGGUAAUGGCCUACCAAGGCUACGACGGAGAGCCGGCCUGAGAGGGUGUACGGCCACAGGGGCACUGAGAUACGGGUCCCACUCCUACGGGAGGCAGCAGUUAGGAAUCUUCCACAAUGGGCGAAAGCCUGAUGGAGCGACGCCGCGUGAGGGAUGAAGGUCUUUGGAUCGUAAACCUCUAAAAGUGGGACGAUAAUGACGGUACCACUUGAAAAGCACCGGCUAACUCCGU